GGACUACCGGGGUUUCUAAUCCGUUUUGCUCCCCACGCUUUCGUGCCUCAAUGUCAGUAACAGAAUAGUUAACUGCCUUCGCCUUAUUGAUGUUCUCCCAUAUAUCUUUGCAUUUUACCGCUCCACAUAGAAUUCCGUUAACCUCUCCUGUACUCUAGCAAAAUAGUAUUACCAACUUCCACGAGGUUGAGCCUCGUUUUCACUGAUAACUUGUUCUGCCAUCUACGCACCCUUUACGCCCAAUAAUUCCGGAUAACGUUCGCCACCUAUGUCUUACCGCGGCGGCUGGCAC
This 292-nucleotide ribosomal RNA is filed under the name uncultured bacterium. RNAcentral describes it as "partial 16S ribosomal RNA". The record is from RNAcentral.